RNAcentral lists this transfer RNA (72 nucleotides) under Camelus bactrianus (Bactrian camel). It matches the Rfam family "tRNA". Rfam says of the family: Transfer RNA (tRNA) molecules are approximately 80 nucleotides in length. Their secondary structure includes four short double-helical elements and three loops (D, anti-codon, and T loops). The record is from Rfam by way of RNAcentral. RNAcentral also lists the same sequence under 1 other name. Lineage: Eukaryota; Metazoa; Chordata; Mammalia; Artiodactyla; Camelidae.
GUUGGUAUAGCUCAGUGGUAGAGUACGUGCUUAGCAUGGACAGAGUCCUGGGCUCAAUCCCCAGUACCUCCA